AGUGAACGCUGGCGGUAGGCCUAACACAUGCAAGUCGAACGGCAGCACAGUAAGAGCUUGCUCUUACGGGUGGCGAGUGGCGGACGGGUGAGGAAUACAUCGGAAUCUACUUUUUCGUGGGGGAUAACGUAGGGAAACUUACGCUAAUACCGCAUACGACCUACGGGUGAAAGCAGGGGAUCUUCGGACCUUGCGCGAUUGAAUGAGCCGAUGUCGGAUUAGCUAGUUGGCGGGGUAAAGGCCCACCAAGGCGACGAUCCGUAGCUGGUCUGAGAGGAUGAUCAGCCACACUGGAACUGAGACACGGUCCAGACUCCUACGGGAGGCAGCAGUCGGGAAUAUUGGACAGUGGGCGCAAGCCUGAUCCAGCCAUACCGCGUGGGUGAAGAAGGCCUUCGGGUUGUAAAGCCCUUUUGUUGGGAAAGAAAAGCAGCAGGUUAAUACCCCGCUGUUCUGACGGUACCCAAAGAAUAAGCACCGGCUAACUUCGUG
RNAcentral lists this ribosomal RNA (492 nucleotides) under uncultured bacterium. RNAcentral's name for it is "partial 16S ribosomal RNA". It matches the Rfam family "Bacterial small subunit ribosomal RNA", at positions 29 to 507 of the family's 1533-position model. The record is from RNAcentral.